This 1194-nucleotide long non-coding RNA is filed under the name Anas platyrhynchos platyrhynchos (common mallard). Its description in RNAcentral is "lncRNA (ENSAPLG00000022482.1)". Lineage: Eukaryota; Metazoa; Chordata; Aves; Anseriformes; Anatidae. The record is from RNAcentral.
CCUUGAUUUUUGAACUUAACCCUGUUUUUUUUGCAGGUGGGUAUUUCUACCUAAACAGAAAAUAAAUUCCUCUGGGAGAAGAAGGGAGGUCCGAUUGGAUAUAGCUCUUGAAAUGGCCUUCUUCCAAUGUGCUUUGGCUUGCUCAUCCUUUGUAGAAAUAAUCAAGAAAACACAUAACAGAAUCAGAAGACAACCAUGCUUUGCCAUGCUAUCUGAAGAAAUUACCACCAACUCUGCCCUGCUCCUCUCUGCCACCUUUUCACUGGAUAAUGCUGCUCAUUUAGAUCUGGUGUCCUUUUUACUGCAGGAGAGGGAUGGAAGCUUUCCCACACCUGAGUGAUCUGAGUCCUACAAGGAAAACCAUCCACAGAAGGUGGCUCUUCUCUGACUUAAUCCUCACUGACUGCCUGGGGCCACUCCAGGAGGCUGCUCAGAGCUCUCCGGUCAGGCCCCUGCUGCGAGAUGUUCCUGGAAGAAACCUUUCCCUUAGUUACAGAAGGAGGCUCAGGAAAUUAGAACCUCACAGCUAAACAUAGACUUCAUCAACAAUCUUCCUAAUUUCUUAGAGUUUUUUCCUGGUUACUCGUUGUGUCUUACUGUCAGUAUGUUCAAACACACUCACACAUCUCCCUGCACUUCCAGAGAUGCAGAUAUGUCUCACGAGCUGCAAUGUAUUGCACAUGUAGAAAAAUAAGCACUCUUUCCUUCAGAGACUUGUUGUAGACAAGCACCUAAUUCAGCAUAUUAUAUAAAGGGACACCACAACAGACUACAAACAUCCUUUCGAUUUCCAUCUGAACUGUUUCUAACACAGCACUUGUUUGCCUUCUAUUCCUUCCUAACAGACUCCAAUUGCAGAGCAGAUGGGAAUUGGAAGGUCUGUAACUUAAGUCCCAGUCACACCUUGCUCAGGAAAAGAAAUAAGUGUGCCACAGUUACUGAAUGACUUCUUAUUCCUGUAAUCCUUGAACUUUAAUGAACUAGAGAGAGGAGUGUGGAAAGAAAAGAGUCAGGAAAAUAAGGUCAUCUACCCAACUGAUCAUAUGCACUCUUUUGCUUUCUUCCAAUUUUUAUUUUGGUAUUUGAAGGAAAUGUUUCCAUCAGUACAAAAUGGGAAUAAGCUGUUUGAACAAUGACUAAUCAGAAAUGCAGUGUAAUGCAUCUGAAACACAAAUAAAGAAAUUUGAUUCUCCC